GGGACGAACGCUGGCGGCGUGCUUAACACAUGCAAGUCGAACGGAAAGGCCCGCUUGCGGGUACUCGAGUGGCGAACGGGUGAGUAACACGUGGGCAACCUGCCCUCAGCUUCGGGAUAACUCUCGGAAACGGGUGCUAAUACCGAAUGUUGACAUUUCCUCGCAUGGGGUUGUGUUGAAAGUUUUUCGGCUGGGGAUGGGCCCGCGGCCUAUCAGCUUGUUGGUGGGGUGAUGGCCUACCAAGGCGACGACGGGUAGCCGGCCUGAGAGGGGCGAGUCGGACCGACGACCUGGAACGUGAGACACGGUCCAGACUCCUACGGGAGGCAGCAGUGGGGAAUAUUGCGCAAUGGGCGGAAGCCUGACGCAGCGACGCCGCGUGAGGGAUGAAGGUCUUCGGAUUGUAAACCUCUUUCAGUAGGGACGAAUUUAGACGGUACCUGCAGAAGAAGCACCGGCCAACGUACGUGCCAGCAGCCGC
Molecule: ribosomal RNA, 481 nt
Filed under: uncultured bacterium
Lineage: Bacteria
Description: SSU rRNA
Rfam family: Bacterial small subunit ribosomal RNA
Source: RNAcentral